CAUAUCUUCUUUGCCUGCAGAUGUGUCUUCAUCAGGGAAGUGUUCGGAGAACUCACAGGCUUCUUUCCUCUGACACAGGGAUGGACGCAGAGGGAAACAGUUUAGUUGGUUCAGGUAGCUUUGUGGCAGCCAGACCUGAGUGAAGAGGAUACACCAGACCUUCCACGGAAGGUGCAGAAGUGCUCACAGCUGGAGAAGGCAAACACCGCUCUUUUCACAUCCCUUGGGUAGUCUGCUGCGCUAAGUUUUGCUAAGAGGCACACCAUUUCCCACUCCCUGCAUCACCAUGUGAUCGGCAAGGGAAGCAGCAAGCAGCCUGCGAAAUGGCCGAACUACACUGCAGUCACAGCCAUGAUUGCAACUCACACAAAGGCACCUGGAUUUAGCUUGCAUGCCUUUGUCAGCAAAGUCACAGAAACACAAUACAGUUCAGCGCUGGAUGCAAGAUGUGCCCAGGAAGCUGAGGGGUUGCUGUGGUGUCAUGAUGGCAUUGCUAAAAGCAACCAAAUGCACUGUAGCUACACUGUAGUGGCUAUUUUCAGAGGCAAUGCACAGGAGUACAAGCCAACAGAAAGAAAAAGACCAGAAUGUUUUGCACACAGAACCUUUAACAACAGGGCCAAAAAACAUUUUACAUUUCCUUUAAGAAAAAAAAAAGCACAGACAAUAGUAUAUUGAAAGAAGAUUUGAUUCAGGAAAGUUGUUUUGAAGUAAUCUGGAUUAGAGACCCUUUAACAUGGGGAACCUGAAAGACACCAUCAAACCCUGCGUAAAAUUUGCCCCACUUGUUCUUGUCUGAACAGGCAUGAGGGAGAACGAAAUCCAACAGAUGGGGCAAUUAAGUGAAAGAGAUCGAUCUCAGUCACAUGUGGGAGUGCCACACACAUGACAGUGAGAACCUGGGCAUAUGAACUGGUUGGACACUUUUUUGCUUCUGUUUAGCAGAUGUUGUCAAAAACCAGGAAACACCCAAUGCACAGCUUAUGUUUGACAACGAUAUGGCACUAGUGUAUUUUCUUUCCACAUUAAAAUAUAUGUAGCCUUGCAGGACGAAAGCUAAUUGCUACACAACUCUGCCUCUCCCCCUGCAUCCCCGUAUUUCUGUUCACAGCAGGAGAAGAGAUCCUUCAGCUUUAUUUUGACUCUCUCCCUGCCCAUGGGCACAGCCACACUGCGAUUUCCAUGCAUUGUGCAACGAAAAAUGGGUUGGUUUGCCUAGCAGCAGUCUAACUGCAAAGGCACAGAGCUCACCUAGGCUUAUUUUGUUUCUUUGCAAAAUGAAUGGUCUGCCAUACCACAAUCUAGUGUGCAGAUGCACCACCCUUUGCUGUAUUGCAACAGAGAUGAUUCUAGAAUUUAUUCAAGGUCUACCACACCAAGAGCAUAAGAGGACACCACACUGUUACCUUCUGACAUAAAAUAAGGGAUCCUGAACCUUCCUUCAAGAACUCGUUGCCUCAGUAUGGGGAGUGUUGGUCCAUCAAAGGGUAAUGCUCCACAGACCAAAACAUAAAGAACUACACCCAUGCUCUGUAAGACAAAGAACAUUAAUUUAAUUUUUCAAGCUACAAGCAAAGUCUCUGAGGCUGGCUAGCCAAAUCCUGUCACAGAAAAAAUUAAAAUUAUGUUCUGCAGGAAGAGGAAAUUUAUACAAAAGAGAGUUAGGUUUGUGAAGAUACCUAAACAUUAAGAACACUCAGCUAACCCAAAAUGGCUAGGCUUGCAGUACCUUGUGCUGAUAAGCAGGUAAGCUGAAGUGUAAUGGGUUAGAGACUCUGGCUGCUAGCAGGAAGCUCCACACGGAUGACUGAAUGAUACCUGAAAAGCGAGCCCCAACUUCAGGCUGAACAACCCCAACUCUCUCAGCCUGUCCUCAGAGAGGUGUUCCACCCCUCUGAUCAUUUUUAUGGCUCCUUCUGCAACUAUUUCCACAGACUAGAACUACAGGGCUUAUCUGAUAUCAAAUAUGCUGAAGUGAUCCUAGUGACAAAUGAGGAGCUGCAGCCCACAGCUUACGUUUGGAAGAAACAAAUGGAAGAACGCCUUUGGACUUCAGCAAACUGCUUGGUUAAGGGGCUCUGGGGCAUAAAUACCUUCAAAAAUGUUAUAUUUCAUGAUUUAUCUUUAUAAUAGAUUUGAUUUAGAAUCAUCUUCUAGGGCAGCAUAGUAGUAUUGGGUGGAUUGAUUAAAAUCUGAGCUCAAUUAAAAUUGAGGCCUUUUAAAAUGAUAAACGCUAGUUCAAAUACAAAUGAUUGAGUUUGCUUGAAACAGCAAUUAAAUCAGAUCUACAAUCACUCUAGCUUUUUAGAGAUUUAGGUAUCUGUGCUGACUGCUAAUGAUGAGCUGUCUUUUCUGUGAUGACACAGGAUACUCUUAUCUCUCAUCUAUUUUUGCAUUGCCAACAGACUGGAAGCUUAAAAGACGGACAAAUAUUUAAGCUUCACUCUACCCUUUUAACCCAGUGCCCCUAAAUUAAUAUUUUAUUCCAGAUAAUUAACAUACGUCGUUACUUGAGAACAUCAUACACUACUGUAAAUAUCUGGUAUGGGUGGAACCCUCAAGAGGCAAAAUCUCCAGCAGCAGUCUACGGUCACUGUAUUAGCUAAAAGUCAGAAAAUCAGAUACCCAGUUCUCACAGCAAUGAACUUUUGGGACUUGUCCGUAAUCAAAGAAGAGCUCCACUGCCUAUCAGUAAGAAGGCUACAAUGACGGAAAAGACUAUCUGAAGGUCAAACCACAUGCAAGAUCCGUAACAGUGACAUGCUCUGCAAGCACACAGAAUGCCCGACAGUUGCGUGAACAGUUACGCAACAGCAUCCUGGCACAUCGCCAUACUCUGGAGGUGCAAACGAUCAAGGUCAGCUCAGAUUCUAAAUCUACAUAGGAAACACUGAAUAUAACGAUCGUGCCAUCCUUCCUUUUAUGUUCUGAAACAACUGCAACUUCAGCUGUAAUAACAAAGGGGGAAAAAACAAAAUCUUCUACCAAAAAAUCUCUCAAUCCCUUUGUGUCACCUGCCUUUUUCCUAUCACAGCUGGACUUCUGUUAUGAAUUUUUUUAUUCUCUUUGAGGAGACUUUUCUUCACAGACAAUCAGCUUGGCAACCUUGACAAUACUAAAGGAAACAUGAAGCAAUUUCUUCUCUCAGAAUCUUUUGCCAUCUGUGUAGGUGUCAGUAAAUCUGAUCUCUCCCUUCACUUAUCUUGAAUUUAUCAGAUUUUCAACAUCCUCUUAGUACUGCAGAUAAAUAUCAAUCUUUAUCUCUGAACUGCAGCUCCUAUUCAGGUGCCACCCUCAUAAAUCUUUGUAUCAGAUUCACAAGUACAUGUACGUAUAUUUGUAAGCACAGCUAUAGAAAGCAUAACUUGCUUGGAAAUACACAAGAUUUCAAUUCCUAAGAAAGUGAAGCUCUUUGCCUAUCUAGACUGGAUUUAAAUUAGCUGUUUGGUGAACGUGAACAUGUAGAAGCCACUUCAAAAAGAAACAUGAAAAAAUCUGAACAGCAAAAGACAGAACAGGCUUUAAGUGCGACUGAUCAAUAUAAAGGAAGUUUCAGCUUUAUGUUGCAGUUAGUAUUUUUGAAUUUAACUAUUAUCCUUACAUGCUUAAUUUCAUAACAUAUAGUUUUAUUUAUGGUUACCAAAUGUAGCUCAAGAGCAAGCACAUCUUAGAACUGAAAAGCAUGAUCCUUGCAGAGCUGUUACCUUUGCUCCCUAUCUGAGCAACAGAAUUACAGAACUUACACUGUUGGAGAGGGUGCUUGAGUGGGUGGAACAGCAGCAAUUGGCUUACAUCUGAUGGUCUUGUGACAGCGCAGAUGGUUAAGUUUUAUUAAGUAAAUCCAUCAAUGAAAGGUCUAAAAAUUCAUAGUAGAAGGAAUAGCCAAGGAUGCGUUCUGUAUAAGCACUAAUACAACAAUUCAGGCUGCUGGAGUUUGGGGGUAGGGGCAAGCACAAGGAAUUAGGCUGCAGAAAAUGGCCAGCCUGAUAUACGCUCCCUGUCACUGCUAGAUGGGUCUGACCCAGUAUGGAACUCCUCAUGGAUCUGGUCUAGCGGUAUGUGUCUUUUAAACCUGGCAAACGGUUCCUUCAUUCUUUGAUCUGCAGUCCUAAAACUUAGAUUUCUUCCCUUUUUCAUGGGCAAGGAACACCAGUAUCCUUUAGUUAUAGGUUUCUGCUGAAAAAACAGCAUGCAUUGACAAUACUAAGCACAGUAAGAGCCAGACACCUACUAAUUCAUACUGGACUUUUUUAUGUAACAUAGGACUUAAAAAGAGUGUUGCUUAUUUCAGCAAUCUGCUCUUAUCUUUAGAAAUGCAACUACAUUCUAUUGUUGGACAAAAUAAUUACCUGUGCAGGGAGAUCAGCAUUAUUUAUUAGGGUACAUAAGUUAUUAUGGUUAGCUCUUUUUGUUUCCAUUAUGCUUUCUAUACUUGUCUCUUCAAAUUAUGGUAAACCAUUUCUUAAGAACUCAAGAACUAAUUGCAUUCAUGAAAACCAUUUCAAAGAAAAAGUCUAUGAUUUAGGUAGGAUACUGGAAGCUUGGGCUUCCUCAGUUUUUAAUUAUUGCACUGUCAGUUUAGUUGUCCCACUUUUUGGAGUGUGAGAAUGGCCAGGAUUCAAUUAAGCACAAAACAAUCACUAGUCUCUCAUUCUCUCUCUUCCACCACCUCCCCUUGUUUCUACUUUGCAAUCGCUGAUCUACCAUAAUCAUAACGGAUCAAAGGUAAUAGUUUUUAACUUAAGAACACUGCUGAGAUAUCUCAUUCCAGAGAAACUGAUUUUAAGAACACUACUAAUGUUUAAGGGAAAAAUGUGCCAGCCCUCAAAAAAACAUAUGCCAGCCACAGAAUUUUAAAAGGACUGAAAUUGGACUCAUUACUAGAGGACUGAGAUUAUAUAGUCAUGGAAUCAUAGAAUGGUUUGGGUUGGAAGGGACCUUAAAGAUCAUCUAGUUCUAAGCCCCCUGCCAUGGGCAGGGACACCUUCCACUAGACCUGAUUAGUCAAAAUCCCAUCCAACCUGGCGUUGAACGCUUCCCAAGGACGGGGCAUAACCGAGUGAUCGCUGUCUUCUUAACAUUUGCCUGAAUCUGCACAUGAAAAAGUAUGAUCAUUUGCAGCAUUGUGUUCAGUUCAAUAAACUCUGUGUUUGUGCAAUCUGCAAAUAUUGGCUCUCAACUUUUGCAGUAUUUUGUUUCUUAACCUCAUUACCCCCUUUAGAAUAAUCUUGAAUUUAGAAGGUAUAAUUUUUUGAACAUACAUCAUUUAAAGGGAAGCUGUUUUCCUGUUAAAAAUGGAAACAGACCAAGAUUUCAGACCCAUUUGCAAUUUGAGAAAGGGAAGCUCCCUUUAAGAGCCACUGCAACUUCUGCUGUGCAUCUAGCAAUAUGACGUAGUCUCUAAUUUGUACCUCUAAAAAUCCUUUAGAAGGGAUACUACCUUCAGAGCUAUAAUUAAUCCAUUCUUCUAAAAUUACCAACAGAAUUCUAUCUGCUUGGCUUCACAGUGCCACGUGGAUCUUUUGUUAUAAUAAUGAUAUGAGCAAAGGAGAUAACUGGGAGAGACGUACAGAUAAAGGAAAGGUGUGAGUGUGUUAGAAACAAACCUGACCCACUUCAUGAACUGAAUGCUGAUCAGCCAGUUCUGACGUCAAUGCAUAUUUUACUGUCCACCAGCAAGACAAACCAGCACUAUAACCUACUUCAAAAUAACAGUCUCUCCUACCUGAUCUGGUUCAAACACAGUAGCUUUACCAUCAAGAUGGCAUGAUUUCUGCAGACAUCUAUAAGGCAUCUUAAUCUGGCAGUUUUGUGGGGCUGGAAGUAUACAGAGAGAAGCUCACUAUUCCAUCCUCAAUUCAAAGCUGUAUUUAAUUUUCACAAAUGCACAGACGUUUCACUGUACAGACAACCAGCAAGUUUUAUCUGAUGACAGCAUAGCAUAUCAGUGAUGAGUAACUGAAAUCCAGCCCCUAUGACCCCUUCGAAAAACAGCAAAAUGUAAAGGCUACAUGAACAAUCCAGUCAUCUACAGACAAUAACUUUAAGAAGAACAAAGGUGGUUUACAUUGCUAGUGCUGAAAACAAAUUUAAUGUCAAACCUGAUGAAGACUGCCUGGUAUGGCGUUCUUCAGCUGCAACCAUCUCAGUGGACAUUUUAUCUGAUUAAUACUUUCUUUUAUGCUACUUAUGCUAAAAUAUAAGUUUGAGGCUUUUGCUCCCAACUACCUAACGUCUUCUAGAAAAUAACAGUCUAUCAAAGCUCUCACCUCAAGAUCUUUACACAUCAUCUGCUUCUUGUCCAGUUACUAAGACUGAAAAGAAAGAUCCUUGGAAUUCUAACAUUUUCCUUUUAGAGCAGUAUUAACGCAAAACUAUUAAAUUUCAGUCCAGCUUCCUUGUUUUGAGCAUAAAAGGUGGCAGUCUCAUCAGCUCAGUUUUAGGAACACUUAUUUUGAAUCUUAGUUUAUUCUCCUGGAAGCUGAAAUACAGAGGUAAGUUUUAUGCAUGUUUUUGUAUUUGAAAAAAAAAAAAGUCGUAUUCUUCAGUCAUAGAAACAUCAGAAUGAAUCAAGAGGUCCACUGGAAGUUAGGAAGAGCCUGGAAUGCCCACGAGUAUCUACGUGGAUUUCAGAGCUGCUUGGAGUGAUCAGCAAGGGACGGCCUGCACAUAGUGCUGGGGCCCAGUGCAGACACUGACACUGCAGAGCUUUGUAUCAAAAUAAUUAAUCAGUUACUGUGUUGUUUUUCAGUUGCUAGAUUAUUUCAAAUGAGAGAGUAAUUCUAGCUAUCAGAGUUGGGGUCCUGGCUGCCCUUUGUUCUUCCACAGUUUGAUAAAUGAAUCAUGAAGAAUAUGAACCACUGGAAGAGACUGUUCUCAGGGAUCUGUACAGCACCAGGUUAACUCCAUAAUCACAGAUAAACCGUUCGGUGGAACUCAUGGUCAAUCUCCUUUACAGAGAAAAAUAAAUUGACUGACUCAGCUGAAAUCACUACAAAGUUUCUAGCAGUCAUAACUUGCCUCCAGCUACUUUAUCACCAAAGCUCACACAAGAACUGCUAUCAAUCUGAUAAAGCUUGACAAAGAUACAUGGAAGCAUCAGACGAUAUGAAUCACUGCCACUUAAUGUGAUCAUUUACAUACAGACCACCUGUAAUUAACUUUCUGUAAUACAGAGGUAGAGCACAAGAGCAGCUAAGAGGAAGAAAGAGACAGCAGCAGCUGAUGGAAUCUAGUAACUACCAUUUAUCAAUGCUUUCAUUGGAGUCCCUGGAGAACCUACGCAUUGAAAUUCCCUGCAACAGAACAGUUCACAUCUCUAACCUUUCUUUGGUUAACGGGUUUCCUGAGAUGGCUUUGAAGUAGUGGUUUUGUAAGCCUGUGGGUCAAGUUUGCACUGCAGUGUUCAGGGAGGCAGGGAACAUGCAUCCCCACAGCGUUAAGGACAUCCAUGAAAGGAAUUCCUCUGAAUAUGGCCCCACUCCAGCGCAGCUGAGGCCCUGAGGAGUUCUGAAAAAACUACACCAGGCUGAACGUGACAAACUACAGUACAGAACACUGAUGUGGAGGAAAAGGAAUUAGAAGGGAUAGUAUGUGGUGGUGAAAAUGGGGAGAAGAGCAGCCGUUCAGAAGGCAAGGAAAGAAAGCAUACAUGAACAAUAGCACAAACAUUCCCUUAUAUUUAGCUCAGUUACUCAUAGUAAGCGGGGUCCCUGUGACUUGCAGCCCUUAGACACAGUAUUUACUGAAGCCAUACAUUGUCCUGGUAAAUCCAGUUGUAUGUCAACCAUAAAUCUCCAGGUGCUAUGACUGUCAGUAGGUACUAGAAAUAAAUGCAAGUUUGAAAUCAGAAAUGAGAAAAGUAAAAAUACUCUACAGACGGUAGUGCUGAUGAACCCACUAGAUUAAAGCUCAAAGUACCAAACCCCUUUCACUGUCAAAUUCACAGCCUUAUUACCAACAGCUGUGAGCAAACUGUGCAGGCAGCCCUAUUGGUUUUCAGAAUUUUGAGACAUCACCACCAAUUCAAUCUCAAUGUUACUAGUUAUUAUACCUGGGCCACUUCGUUAUAAAGUCCAGACAUCAUCUCCAUCCCAAACUGUUUCUUUAGCUUUCUUCAGGUAUCAAAUGCCCUAAAUAAGAACUUAAAUCAGAACUGCAUCUUCCUGCUACAACAGCUACAACCCGCUUUUACUUCAUCUGAUGGUAGCUUUUAGUAUUUUUACAGUUUAACGUUAAUACAAAAGUGCACAGAGUAUAGAGAAAAUUAAAAGACAACGACAAACAGUUUGAUAUCAAAUGAAAUGAAAAAGAGGCUACUGCACAGACUCUGCUAUUAAUUUAUAUAAAGCGUUAAAUAACAAUUUUUACAGCUCCUAUGAACCUGCUGUAAAAUUCCCACUCUGAGAUGCUAAAGAGCCAUGAAAUACAGAGAACAUGCCAAAGAGCAGAUUAAUAGGCUUCCGUCUCUAGCUUCAGAGAAUCUGUUUUCCACACAGUUCCAUCUGCCAAAAAUCCCCACCUUACAUUCAUAUUUGAUAACAAACAGUAGCCUAAUACUCUGAAAAUCGUUGUUCUGGAACUCAUAUAGCUGAAUUUUCCUUUUCCUCGAUGUUAAUUUAAUUUAUCCAUUACCCAACCUUUCUGUAAACUCUUAAACCAUGUGAAAAAGAUGCUAGAGGUGGAAAAGUGGUAAAGGAGUGAAGGAAUGAAUGUUUUAUAUUUUGUUUAAGACAAAAAACAAAGGUCAAUGCAAAAGCAACAAACACAUCCAGGAACUGGGAAAGCUACUCCAUUAAUACAUACAUUGAUAAGAAAUCCUUCGUAAUCCAUCAGUAAAAUCCCAUUUCAUAGGCAAAGAUAACCUAUGUUGUUUUUUUGGGGGGUGGGGUUGAUAGCAAUGACUAUGAGUUCAUCUUCUCUAAGUUUCAGAGGAUAAAAUUCUUGCUCAGGAAAUAGUUUUCAUCUCAAAGGUGAGUGCUCAUUUUAAAUGAUUGUGUAGAUUUCCUGUUCUGUUAAAGAUGACUCGAAAGGAUUUAAAAGAUCUUUCCUGAGGGUGAAGUUAAUCCUCAGAAUUAAUUGCCUAGUCUUCCUAAUUUUGCUGUAGUAUUGCAGAGAAAAGGGUGACUCUCUGUGACACAGAUGUUAACCAGUUAAACAGGUAUUACCUUUUCCUUUAAAGACCUUUAAGGGCACUGUCUUCAUACUCCAUAGACAAAAAGGUGAGCAGCUUUUAGAGAGCUGCUGGCACAUUUAAUGCUUUUCUGCAAUUUUAUUCUUAUAGAAAGCAUCAGAGAUGAAGAGACAUUUUCAGUUCAUCCAUUUCAGAAAUGCCAGAGAGGAGAUUCAAGGGUAGAAUAAUCCAGCAGCGAUCUACAACUCAGAAAUGUUUUAUUACUUUACCUUUCUCAGACUGAUUGGCUAUCUAUUCACCUUUCCUUCUCAGAACUAGCAAGCUUACUCCUAUAGAAACCAACUUCUUACAGCAGUUAACCUUCCUUUCCUGCUCAUGUAUUAUUGAUGACUGAAGUUCAACAGUCCUCCAAAUAAAGAUGUUAUCUAGCUUUCCCACUUCAGGUGUCACUGGGCUAAAGUUAGUAUAGAACGAUUCAUAGAAUUGUAAUGAAUUGACAACCGACAAAAUGAUUUCCAGUACUAGCAACAUCUGCUGUGUCUAAAUUUAUAAUUAAAAUUAAAUCAUGCAUGCAAAAAGAAAAAAAUCAAUAAGCUUCCAUUUUGAGUUUUUCUCACGUUGAAAGAAGUUAUUUGAUUAACUCUGUUUUAACCUGAACAUCUGGCAGCAUCGUAGACACCCACAAAAAAUUACUGUAACUCUAAAAAUUAUUUCCUUUUUCCUAAAAGUGUAAUAGAACUCAUCUGGGAAAUUUUAGCUACAUGUACUGUGAUAUCCAUAAUGCAAAAGUAUUACAUGCAUUACCACUCUGAUUUUCUGUACCUUAAGCACAGCAGGAUAUCUUGGGCAGCAGCAACUGAUUUACUGGAACUGCCUUCAUGAAAAUAAGGUGUUACUGAGUGUCAUCUACAUUCUGAGUACCUGCUAUUUUGAUGUUCAUGUUAUUGUCAAGCAGAAGAUUUUCAGCCUUCAGGUCACGGUGAACAAUCUUUCGACCAUGGCAAUACUCCACUGCUGAGAGGAUCUGCCAGAAUUUGCGCCUGGCCUCAGCCUCACUUAGACGGCCAUGGCUGGCAAGGUAAUC
Molecule: non-coding RNA, 10217 nt
Organism: Phalacrocorax carbo (great cormorant)
Lineage: Eukaryota; Metazoa; Chordata; Aves; Suliformes; Phalacrocoracidae
Source: RefSeq, a predicted model, not a curated record